GAGGGUAUAGCUCAGUGUUAGAGUGUGUGCUUAGUGUGCACAAGGUCCUGAGUUCAAGCCCCAGUACUUCCA
Molecule: transfer RNA, 72 nt
Filed under: Camelus bactrianus (Bactrian camel)
Lineage: Eukaryota; Metazoa; Chordata; Mammalia; Artiodactyla; Camelidae
Also listed under: 1 other name
Rfam family: tRNA
About the family: Transfer RNA (tRNA) molecules are approximately 80 nucleotides in length.
Source: Rfam by way of RNAcentral